This is a long non-coding RNA of Capsicum annuum, 2294 nucleotides long. RefSeq lists it as uncharacterized. Lineage: Eukaryota; Viridiplantae; Streptophyta; Magnoliopsida; Solanales; Solanaceae. The record is from RefSeq and is a predicted model, not a curated record. The transcript is spliced from 2 exons.
UAUAGGAUAUCCCAAAAGUUAGUUAUGCCAAUAUGUAUGCAUAUAUGAAAUUAUUUAUUCCAUUAUUAAACGUGAAAUAAAUAAUUUUAUAUUUUAUUUCGAAAUUAUUAUUUCCCAAACAACCCUUCAUAGUGAUGAAACUCAGUUCUCUAGUCUGAACAUAUUUCUAUGACCUUUGAAUUCCACAGAUUUAAGAAUCCUGUAUCUGUUUUGUUUCCAGCUUAGGAAAAUGAGAAUUACACUUAAUUUGUUAAAAAAAUUUAAUCAAAUCAUUCACUUUGUGCGUGAGCUGGGUAUAUAUAUUGACUAUUAUUAACCAAUUAAAGUAAUUUUUGGUCAUUUGAUUUCAGAUAUGUGCAGUAAAUCAAAUUCUGAGUUCUUCUGAAGAUUUAUUUGGAGAUUCAUAUAGCAUUUUCCCUCCAGAAACUUGCUGUGUCAAAUUUUGAGUGGACGGACAUCUAGCUCGAUAUGAUUUGUGAGACCAUUUCUCCACCUCCCUUUUGGUGCGUUAUUAGAGAGCUCAUUUAGCGUGUUGCUCUCUCAAUCAAAAUGAAAGCAAUCAAGAUAAGUCAACUUAAGGCUCCAUCUAUCACUUGCAUCAUUUUCUCAAGGUCAUAAUUUAGAACUUUCAAAGUUCUGUUGUUGCCUGCUAUCCAACAUGCUUCUAUUAAAUCACUUGUACUAACUCCUACUUGGUGGUGCUAUCUCAGACUAGUUCAGAAGCCUGGUAAUUGAAGUCCCACUUUACCAUGACAAGUUGGGUCCAACUAGGAGGUUUUCUGAAUUAUAUUAAAAAUGUAAGAUACCUAUUCUUCGUGUGAACAACAAGACUAGACAAGUCAACAUUAUGAAUAGUAUUCAUAUGGACAGCAUAGGAGAAGACAUGCUCGAUGGAGUGCUCAACAAAAGGGUGCAUGUCAUUGAGCAGUGACAGUGAAUCAAAACAAAAUUUGAUCCAGGUUUUUAACCUUUGAAAUGAGUCUUUUAAACUACAUAUUGCAUUAGCACUGUCAGCAUUUCUCUUUUCCGCACAAGCGAAACAACUCCAGGUAAAGUGAUAUGGAAUAUGGAGCAAGUACCAUCACAAAGCCUUUGGUUUCAGGAAGAGCAAUUUUCUGAGAUGAGAAAUAUCAUAACAACCUUUUGAGUUUCCAUAUGGAAGGAGGUUCCACUAAGGUUCAGGUAUACGUUAUCCUUUUCCCUUGCGAAAAAUAAACUGGUUGUAUCUUCUUUGCUGAUGCUUUACUAGUGUACCGUACAAUUUUUGAAUUCUAAUUUGCCAUAUGGAGCUUUCCCCUCGCACACCUAAUUUUGUCAGUUGGUUUAAUGACGUAAAAAACAUCUGUUUAUCUUUGGUUAACUUACACAAAGCAGGUGAUUCAAUUAAUUUGAGCUUUGGUUGAGUUUCAGGGAGUCUUGGUUCAUAGCUCUAAUCAAUAUUCUGAUUGAUUGGCUGUUUCAAAUUGUGCUAACUGUUUUUUAAUAUUAGCCCAAUUUAAGGUUAAGGUAGAAGUGGUGUUCAUUUCAGCAGAGCUAGGGAACAAUCACAAAGUAAAAGCAGAAGAGCAAUUAGUUGAAAUAGAAGAACCAAACUAGAUUUCUUGUUGGGGUUAAUAGAGACUACAACUUUGUUCCGCAAACUCAGUCUGCACUGCACUGUACAAGUUACUUCUAUCCUCCUAAACACUGAAUCAGCAGGUGUUUUUCUGUAUACAAGCAAAAAAUAAACCCAAAUGAUUGUUGUCAGUCCCCAUUUUUAACAUCCCCCACCUACCUAUAUCACUACUACUCUGUAGUUAGCUAAAACCUCUCCUUUUCCUAAUCUUGAACUAAUCAGACUUCCAAAAGCCAUGAUUAUCUACUGAGCUGCUAAAAAAGAUUCACAAAAACCAGCCAGAGAAAAUACAAAUAGAAGCACCAUAGCAUUAUUCAGUUGAUCUUGAUUCCCGAGACACCAAUAUCUACUUCUCAAAUAUAUUAAUGGCUUAGGUUGUAGGAGCUUCUUUAGCUGCUUCAACAAAAGGUGACUGUACACUAUCCUCCUCAUCAGAAUCACUCCCAGAAGAACUUCCUGAAUCUGAAUCUGCAAAUGUCAAUCAUGGCAAAAGUAAAUAUACCACCCCUCGCACUUGUUCACCAAAAUGAACUACAGGGGGGGAGAAAAAGUUAUACCACUGGAAGAAGAAUCACUGCCAGAACUUGAUCCUCCACUAGAACUGCUUGACCCACCACUCUCACAUGGGACAUCCUUGUCAAUCUGCACAGGAGGAAAGCUUUCACCUGGGAUUUCCUCA